CCUACUGCCAGAAGGAAAAGGGGCCCACUUUGAGUCCAAGCUUCAUCACAAGAAAAGCCUCUGUGCGCUACCAAGACCCCGCCUAUUGUAUGGCUCAGACUAGAGAUUAACAAACAGAGGAGGUACAGCAAUAUCACAGAUCAUUUAGCUCUGUGAGCCUCACUGUGAUACAGCUCCAGUGAUGGAUGGAACAGGAACCAGGUGAGACUCUCAGGUUUCACGUGUCCUGUAUCUCAUUCGUAUGUGAGGAGAAUGGGAUCUAUGCUAAAACUCUGUGUCCCUCCUAUCUCCAGCUAAUUGAUCCAGCUCCUCUGACCUUUGAGAGCUUCACCUCUCCAGACAGUUGUGCAAGAGCUACAAGGCAAGACGCGACUUUGUGCUUCGAAGCCAUCCACCUCCUGGACCUGAACAGCAGCUCAGGAGGCAAAGCUUUAAGUGUUCCAGGGAAAUGGCAUGCAUGUGCCAGCUCCUCUGACCUUUGAGAGCUUCACCUCUCCAGACAGUUGUGCAAGAGCUACAAGGCAAGACGCGACUUUGUGCUUCGAAGCCAUCCACCUCCUGGACCUGAACAGCAGCUCAGGAGGCAAAGCUUUAAGUGUUCCAGGGAAAUGGCAUGCAUGUGCAUGUCCAUGCUCGGCAGUCCUGUGUGCACAGGGCCUGAGUACAGCCAAUAUCCGAAGCACAAACUUGCCAGCACAGAGAGGCAGCGGAACCAACCCCCGUGCCAGCAGCACGGCCGCCGAGCUGCACGCCCUAUCUGCUUCUCCGAGCUGCCGGGACCUCGCAGCUCCCACCCGCUUCACCCACAGCGUUUCAGCAAAAACGUGCAUCCCGGCACUCUGCCGCAGUGAAGCUCAUUUCUGACCCACUGGCACAAGCCACCAGUGCCGGCAGCGCCAACGGCCUCACAGCGCGCUCGCUGACAGCUUCCUCUCCUAACGGGGUCAGCGGGGGACAGAAAGAGGAUCUGACACACUUCUACUUCCCGACGUGAGAGCCGCGGCCGCUCGCAGGGCGCUGCUCAGCC
RNAcentral lists this long non-coding RNA (1027 nucleotides) under Chrysolophus pictus (golden pheasant). RNAcentral describes it as "lncRNA (ENSCPIG00010013724.1)". Lineage: Eukaryota; Metazoa; Chordata; Aves; Galliformes; Phasianidae. The record is from RNAcentral.